This 85-nucleotide transfer RNA is filed under the name Chloroflexota bacterium. Its description in RNAcentral is "tRNA-Leu". It matches the Rfam family "tRNA". From Rfam's summary of the family: Transfer RNA (tRNA) molecules are approximately 80 nucleotides in length. Their secondary structure includes four short double-helical elements and three loops (D, anti-codon, and T loops). The record is from RNAcentral. Lineage: Bacteria; Bacillati; Chloroflexota.
GCCGCAGUGGCGAAAUGGCAGACGCGGCGGACUUAAACUCCGCUGGUGAAUAACCGUGUGGGUUCGACCCCCACCUGCGGCACCA